AUACGGAGGGUGCAAGCGUUAUUCGGAAUCACUGGGCGUAAAGGACGCGUAGGCGGGUCGGCAAGUCAGAUGUGAAAUCCUACAGCUUAACUGUAGAACUGCAUUUGAAACUGCUAACCUAGAGUAUGGGAGGGGGAGAUGGAAUUAGUGGUGUAGGGGUAAAAUCCGUAGAUAUCACUAGGAAUACCGAAAGCGAAGGCGAUCUCCUGGAACAUAACUGACGCUAAGGCGUGAAAGCGUGGGGAGCAAACAGGAUUAGAAACCCCAGUAGUCC
RNAcentral lists this ribosomal RNA (274 nucleotides) under uncultured bacterium. RNAcentral describes it as "partial 16S ribosomal RNA". It matches the Rfam family "Bacterial small subunit ribosomal RNA", at positions 523 to 796 of the family's 1533-position model. The record is from RNAcentral.